Molecule: ribosomal RNA, 362 nt
Filed under: uncultured bacterium
Lineage: Bacteria
Description: bacterial SSU rRNA
Rfam family: Bacterial small subunit ribosomal RNA
Source: RNAcentral
AACGAACGCUGGCGGCAGGCUUAAUACAUGCAAGUCGAACGGGCGCAGCAAUGCGUCAGUGGCAGACGGGUGAGUAACACGUGGGAACCUUCCUCGUUGUACGGAACAACUCAGGGAAACUUGAGCUAAUACCGUAUAAGUCCGAGAGGAGAAAGAUUUAUCGCAAUGAGACGGGCCCGCGUCGGAUUAGGUAGUUGGUGAGGUAACGGCUCACCAAGCCGACGAUCCGUAGCUGAUCUGAGAGGAUGAUCAGCCACACUGGGACUGAGACACGGCCCAGACUCCUACGGGAGGCAGCAGUAGGGAAUCUUGGACAAUGGGCGCAAGCCUGAUCCAGCCAUGCCGCGUGAGUGAAGAAGGCC